RNAcentral lists this ribosomal RNA (402 nucleotides) under uncultured bacterium. RNAcentral's name for it is "bacterial SSU rRNA". It matches the Rfam family "Bacterial small subunit ribosomal RNA", at positions 355 to 774 of the family's 1533-position model. The record is from RNAcentral.
UGGGGAAUCUUGCACAAUGGAGGAAACUCUGAUGCAGCGACGCCGCGUGAGCGAAGAAGCCUUUCGGGGUGUAAAGCUCUUACGCCAGGGACGAUAAUGACGGUACCUGGAGAAGCAGCUGCGGCUAACUACGUGCCAGCAGCCGCGGUAAUACGUAGGCAGCAAGCGUUGUUCGGAAUUACUGGGCGUAAAGGGUGCGUAGGCGGCGCUCUAUGUUUGGUGUGAAAUCUCCCGGCUUAACUGGGAGGGUGCACUGAAAACUGGGGCGCUCGAGUAUGGGAGAGGAAAGCGGAAUUCCUGGUGUAGCGGUGAAAUGCGUAGAGAUCAGGAGGAACACCUGCGGUGCAGACGGCUUUCUGGACCAUCACUGACGCUGAGGCACGAAAGCGUGGGUAGCAAACA